Molecule: non-coding RNA, 434 nt
Organism: Pantherophis guttatus
Lineage: Eukaryota; Metazoa; Chordata; Lepidosauria; Squamata; Colubridae
Source: RefSeq, a predicted model, not a curated record
UAGGGUCUCCUGCUUGGGCAGGGAGCUUGGACUAGAUGACCUGCAAGGUCCCUUCCAACUCUGUUAAAUCUGUAAGUUGGAUGCCUCAGAGCCCUGGAACUUAGUGAGGAACAGCAAGUCUCUUGGAUGGCUAGAUAUGAAUUAGGCCUCGGUCUACAAGUUGUUAACCACAUCAAACAUCAUUAACACAGUCAUUUCAAGGACAGGAAAAACCCCAACAGCUGCUGUGGGUUAUGCAGUGUUCCUGGGGAAGCUGCCAUGACGACUCCUUGAGGUAAGGCUGUGGUUGGAGUACGGAUUUGGUAUGUUGGCAUGUCACCUGUAGCAGCUGCAAUUUCAAAAAAGAAGACAUUAUAUAAUACAAAGGAAAAUGGCAUAGUUUAUUAUCAAAACAAACAAACAAAUAAAUGUUCUAGCAUGGUAUCUGCCAUCAA